Struthio camelus australis is the source of this 1649-nucleotide long non-coding RNA. RefSeq lists it as uncharacterized. NCBI's taxonomy places the organism in Eukaryota, Metazoa, Chordata, Aves, Struthioniformes, Struthionidae. The record is from RefSeq and is a predicted model, not a curated record.
CUGAAGGAAGGAAAAAAAUAAGGAAGAGAGGAGCAAGGAAUAGAGUGAAUGGCACAAAGUUUGCCGUUUUUGCAACACUCCAUCGUGCAGUUGCCUUGCAGCCACCAGUGAGUCAGUGACACAAAUUCCUCCUGGACAGGAAGCAAUAGAAGGAAACAUUCAGUUCCAGGCCUGCUCAAACAAUCGAUCAGCUCAGUGUUAUAAAAUACAACAGCACAGAUCUGAAAGCAUUAGUUAAAGACAUAAAGAAUUGCAUCCAAAAUUGUAAGCAUCAAUUUUUGUGAAUUAUUUUUUAUUUAAGUAUGUUCAGGAAAUUUACAUAUAGAUUAAACCCUAAAUAUACCAAAUGUCAGUCUGUUUACAUCCUGAUGCCUUCGCAUCACUGCUGUAUGUAGAUUGGGUUCAAAGCUGGAGCAUUCUCAUCAUUACCUCUAACUAAACCAUUACAGUGGUUUAGUGAGGGUUAAAAGAGAAGCUUAUGGGCCGAAGGAAGGCAGGUGAGGUGUUUGCUUUGUUUGGACUUUGGUAUGAACUUAUCAGAAUUUUAAUACAUGUGGCCUGAAAAGCUAAUGAGCCUCCAUCUAGAGGGACACAACUGAUUACAGGCUCAAUUAUUUUUCGUACCUGAACAGCUCGAUUCUUUGCUCAUACUCGCUUCUACAGAAACAACAGCAGCAGCGACGACUUCUCCUUGUCAGAAGAAGGUAAUCUUUGCUGAAGGCUGUAAUUCCACAGUCAUAUACUCCGCACAGACAAACACCUCAUUUCUUUUUGGCUUUGUCUUUUUCCCCUUUUAAGUUUUAUUCUUUGGACGUUUUAAAUGCCUCCUCCCUCAAGGUGAUCUUGUAGUAGUUAGCAGUUCAUCAGGAUGGAUAUAUAGAUAAUAUCGAUAUUUUUGUCUUCACGUAUGGGGCAGUAUAGUCUGAUAGCUGAGGCACCUGAGGGGUCAGAACAGUGCAAUAAAGUAGAGUGAUCACUUCUCACUAAAAUAGGAUAGCGCUGAGGGAGAAAAUAAAAGUUUAUGGACCAAAAGAAGGAAGAAGGUGUAUUUGAAUUGUUUGGAUAUUGUUAUAACACAGUAGGAAUAUAUCCACAAAACCUUACCAAUAAACCUUGGUGUCAAGGCAAAGGAUUUGAAUUCUGCCUUGUAGGCUACACUAUUUCCUGCUGCAAUCCCCCUUUUAUUUUUCUGUCUUCAUCUGGGAAAAAAAAAGAAAAUGGGUUAUAAUCUCUCUAAAUAGAGAUUGUGCACAGCACAUAGGUGUGCAUGAAUUCAGCGGGGAUUGGGUCUCUAGGUCACUGAGGGCAGGUUAAGCAGAGGGAACGGUUGGCACCCUGGCUAUCCAGAGUGAUUUGCUGCAGAGUUUGGAAGCCCCGGGGAGUAGAGGAAGUUCCUAAAACUGGAAUAACUCAUUCGUGAAUUUCUGCUAAUGUAUUUAUUCCUCCAUCAGUUUGAGGGCUCCGUUUUUAUGGACACUUUUGUUUUACAGAACAACCACUGUUAUAUUUUUCUUCCUGUCCCUUUUGCUUUAUUCCCAUGAGCUGGACUCUCCCUCUUGGGGUGACCAUUGUCCUCUCGAGUUCAAUGGGGGCACAAUGAAAUCAGUACUGUAACGGAUUGGGCAGGGUUUAUGUCAACCUGCCCUGCU